GGGAAUAUUGGACAAUGGGGGCAACCCUGAUCCAGCAAUGCCGCGUGUGUGAAGAAGGCCUUAGGGUUGUAAAGCACUUUAGGCUGGGAGGAAGAUAAGGUGUUUAAGAGAUGAUUUAUUUGACUGUACCGGCAGAAUAAGCACCGGCUAACUCUGUGCCAGCAGCCGCGGUAAUACAGAGGGUGCGAGCGUUAAUCGGAGUUACUGGGCGUAAAGGGCGCGUAGGCGGUUAUAUAAGAUUGAUGUGAAAUCCCUGGGCUUAACCUAGGAACUGCAUCGAUGACUGUAUGGCUGGAGUACUGUAGAGGGUAGUGGAAUUUCCGGUGUAGCGGUGAAAUGCGUAGAGAUCGGAAGGAACACCAGUGGCGAAGGCGGCUACCUGGACAGAUACUGACGCUGAGGCGCGAGAGCGUGGGGAGCAAAC
RNAcentral lists this ribosomal RNA (424 nucleotides) under uncultured bacterium. RNAcentral's name for it is "bacterial SSU rRNA". It matches the Rfam family "Bacterial small subunit ribosomal RNA", at positions 357 to 773 of the family's 1533-position model. The record is from RNAcentral.